Molecule: ribosomal RNA, 469 nt
Filed under: bacterium
Lineage: Bacteria
Description: bacterial SSU rRNA
Rfam family: Bacterial small subunit ribosomal RNA
Source: RNAcentral
GGGGUGGCGGGCGUGCUUACCAUGCAGUCGAACGAUGAUCCGGUGCUUGCACCGGGGAUUAGUGGCGAACGGGUGAGUAACACGUGAGUAACCUGCCCUUAACUCUGGGAUAAGCCUGGGAAACUGGGUCUAAUACCGGAUAUGACUCCUCAUCGCAUGGUGGGGGGUGGAAAGCUUUUUGUGGUUUUGGAUGGACUCGCGGCCUAUCAGCUUGUUGGUGAGGUAAUGGCUCACCAGGCGACGACGGGUAGCCGGCCUGAGAGGGUGACCGGCCACACUGGGACUGAGACACGGCCCAGACUCCUACGGGAGGCAGCAGUGGGGAAUAUUGCACAAUGGGCGCAAGCCUGAUGCAGCGACGCCGCGUGAGGGAUGACGGCCUUCGGGUUGUAAACCUCUUUCAGUAGGGAAGAAGCGAAAGUGACGGUACCUGCAGAAGAAGCGCCGGCUAACUACGUGCCAGCAGCCG